RNAcentral lists this ribosomal RNA (434 nucleotides) under uncultured bacterium. Its description in RNAcentral is "bacterial SSU rRNA". It matches the Rfam family "Bacterial small subunit ribosomal RNA", at positions 355 to 804 of the family's 1533-position model. The record is from RNAcentral.
UCGGGAAUUUUGGGCAAUGGGCGAAAGCCUGACCCAGCAACGCCGCGUGAAGGAUGAAGUAUUUCGGUAUGUAAACUUCGAAAGAAUAGGAAGAAUAAAUGACGGUACUAUUUGUAAGGUCCGGCUAACUACGUGCCAGCAGCCGCGGUAAUACGUAGGGACCAAGCGUUGUUCGGAUUUACUGGGCGUAAAGGGCGCGUAGGCGGUGUGUCAAGUCAGUUGUGAAAUCUCCGAGCUUAACUCGGAACGGUCAACUGAUACUGUCACACUAGAGUACAGAAGGGGCAAUCGGAAUUCUUGGUGUAGCGGUGAAAUGCGUAGAUAUCAAGAGGAACACCUGAGGCGAAGGCGGGUUGCUGGGCUGAUACUGACGCUGAGGCGCGAAAGCUAGGGUAGCAAACGGGAUUAGAUACCCGGGUAGUCCCUGAGCGGGC